UCACUGGUUUCUUCAUUGCCACAUCAAAUCAGAAAGAGUUGUGGCAGUGCCGAUUCUAGUGGC
Caenorhabditis brenneri is the source of this 63-nucleotide non-coding RNA. NCBI's taxonomy places the organism in Eukaryota, Metazoa, Nematoda, Chromadorea, Rhabditida, Rhabditidae. The record is from Rfam.